RNAcentral lists this ribosomal RNA (303 nucleotides) under uncultured bacterium. RNAcentral describes it as "partial 16S ribosomal RNA". It matches the Rfam family "Bacterial small subunit ribosomal RNA", at positions 507 to 807 of the family's 1533-position model. The record is from RNAcentral.
AGCAGUCGCCACGGGAAUACGGAGGGUGCAAGCGUUAAUCGGAAUUACUGGGCGUAAAGCGCACGCAGGCGGUCUGACAAGUCAGAUGUGAAAUCCCCGGGCUUAACCUGGGAACUGCAUUUGAAACUGUCAGGCUGGAGUCUUGUAGAGGGGGGUGGAAUUCCAGGUGUAGCGGUGAAAUGCGUAGAGAUCUGGAGGAAUACCGGUGGCGAAGGCGGCCCCCUGGACAAAGACUGACGCUCAGGUGCGAAAGCGUGGGGAGCAAACAGGAUUAGAUACCCCUGUAGUCCCUGUCUCUUAUAC